AAUAAUCACUAGGGGUGUCAUAAUGACUGAGAUGAUGUAUUUUUGUCCCUUUGAACCUGAUCUAGUUUAUGCUAACGUAGGAAAGUAAACACAAAUAUUG
RNAcentral lists this non-coding RNA (100 nucleotides) under Leuconostoc gelidum. Its description in RNAcentral is "TPP sequence". It matches the Rfam family "TPP riboswitch aptamer (THI element)". From Rfam's summary of the family: Vitamin B(1) in its active form thiamin pyrophosphate (TPP) is an essential coenzyme that is synthesised by coupling of pyrimidine and thiazole moieties in bacteria. The previously detected thiamin-regulatory element, thi box was extended, resulting in a new, highly conserved RNA secondary structure, the THI element, which is widely distributed in eubacteria and also occurs in some archaea. Lineage: Bacteria; Bacillati; Bacillota; Bacilli; Lactobacillales; Lactobacillaceae. The record is from RNAcentral.